UGCGCGAAAGCGUGACGGGGGAACCCCAAGUGCCGUUGGUCUUUGAUCGACUGUGCUUUUAGGGAGUCUAASAAGCUCCCGGAAUAAGGGCUGGGCAAGUCGGGUGCCAGCCGCCGCGGUAAUACCCGCAGCCCUAGUGGUGGUCKCGAUUAUUGGGCCUAAAGCGCUCGUAGCCGGGUCAGCAAGUCCCUUGUGAAAUCGGGCGGCCUAACCGUUCGGCUUGCAAGGGAUACUGUUGGUCUUGAGGCCRGGAGACGUCUGAKGUACUCCGGGGGUAGCGGUAAAAUGCUGUAAUCCUCRGGGGACCACCAGUGGCGAAGGCGUCAGACGAGAACGGACCUGACGGUGAGGGGCKAAGGCUAGGGGAGCGAACGGGAUUAGAUACCCCGGUAGUCCUAGCUGUAAAGCAUGCGGGCCAGGUGUCUGGUGUUCCUUGAGAGCACCAAGUGCCGGAGGGAAGCCGUUAAGCCCGCCGCCUGGGAAGUACGGUCGCAAGGCUGAAACUUAAAGGAAUUGGCGGGGGGAAGCAC
RNAcentral lists this ribosomal RNA (530 nucleotides) under uncultured euryarchaeote. RNAcentral's name for it is "bacterial SSU rRNA". It matches the Rfam family "Archaeal small subunit ribosomal RNA", at positions 356 to 881 of the family's 1478-position model. The record is from RNAcentral. Lineage: Archaea; Methanobacteriati; Methanobacteriota.